AGAGUUUGAUCAUGGCUCAGGAUGAACGCUAGCUACAGGCUUAACACAUGCAAGUCGAGGGGAAACGGACAUCGAAAGCUUGCUUUUGAUGGGCGUCGACCGGCGCACGGGUGAGUAACGCGUAUCCAACCUGCCCACCACUUGGGGAUAACCUUGCGAAAGUAAGACUAAUACCCAAUGACGUCUCUAGAAGACAUCUGAAGGAGAUUAAAGAUUUAUCGGUGAUGGAUGGGGAUGCGUCUGAUUAGCUUGUUGGCGGGGUAACGGCCCACCAAGGCGACGAUCAGUAGGGGUUCUGAGAGGGAGGUCCCCCACAUUGGAACUGAGACACGGUCCAAACUCCGUACGGGAGCA
This 354-nucleotide ribosomal RNA is filed under the name uncultured bacterium. Its description in RNAcentral is "bacterial SSU rRNA". It matches the Rfam family "Bacterial small subunit ribosomal RNA", at positions 8 to 349 of the family's 1533-position model. The record is from RNAcentral.